GGGGAAUAUUGGACAAUGGGGGCAACCCUGAUCCAGCAAUGCCGCGUGUGUGAAGAAGGUCUUCGGAUUGUAAAGCACUUUCGACGGGGACGAUGAUGACGGUACCCGUAGAAGAAGCCCCGGCUAACUUCGUGCCAGCAGCCGCGGUAAUACGAAGGGGGCUAGCGUUGCUCGGAAUGACUGGGCGUAAAGGGCGUGUAGGCGGUUUACACAGUCAGAUGUGAAAUCCCCGGGCUUAACCUGGGAGCUGCAUUUGAUAC
RNAcentral lists this ribosomal RNA (260 nucleotides) under uncultured bacterium. RNAcentral describes it as "partial 16S ribosomal RNA". It matches the Rfam family "Bacterial small subunit ribosomal RNA", at positions 356 to 633 of the family's 1533-position model. The record is from RNAcentral.